This 364-nucleotide long non-coding RNA is filed under the name Sinocyclocheilus anshuiensis. RNAcentral describes it as "lncRNA (ENSSANG00000042507.1)". Lineage: Eukaryota; Metazoa; Chordata; Actinopteri; Cypriniformes; Cyprinidae. The record is from RNAcentral.
UCACCUGCGCAUGUCAGCGGAAGUAAAAACCUGGUGAAGCAGCACGCGACUCUCACUCCGCUCCUGAAUUUUUCAGUAUUUAGAUUACCUGCAGCAGCAUUGUUGAAGAUUUGUCGGAGCACCUCAGACAGGAGUGUAACGUAAAAACCAAGCAGUUUGAAGAAACAAUAAUUGGAGGAUACCUUACUGUUGCAGACCACCUGCUGAAGACCAUUUCAUACAGAGGAUCCAUUGGUGAAGAAGUGAUGUAAUGCUACAUUUCUCCUACACAUCUGUUCUGAUGAUGAAAUAACUCAUCUACAUCUAGGAUGGCCUGAGGGUGAGUAAAUUUCCAGCAAAUUUAAAUUUUUGCGUGAGGUAUUCC